UCCAUAUCACGUUGAAGUACCAGUUCUCAUACGAUUACCAAAGUUAAGCAACGCCGAGCCUGGUCAGUACCUAGAUGGGUGAGCGCUUGGGAAUACCAGGUGUUGUU
Non-coding RNA from Acanthosepion pharaonis, 107 nucleotides. NCBI's taxonomy places the organism in Eukaryota, Metazoa, Mollusca, Cephalopoda, Sepiida, Sepiidae. The record is from the annotation of a GenBank genome assembly.